Transfer RNA from Helicosporidium sp. ATCC 50920, 80 nucleotides. It matches the Rfam family "tRNA". Rfam says of the family: Transfer RNA (tRNA) molecules are approximately 80 nucleotides in length. Their secondary structure includes four short double-helical elements and three loops (D, anti-codon, and T loops). The record is from Rfam. Lineage: Eukaryota; Viridiplantae; Chlorophyta; Trebouxiophyceae; Chlorellales; Chlorellaceae.
GAUUCUGUGGCAGAGCGGUCUAAUGCGUGCGGUUCAGGUCCGUAUCCGAAAGGGCAUGGGUUCGAAUCCCAUCGGAAUCA